RNAcentral lists this ribosomal RNA (414 nucleotides) under Russula atropurpurea. Its description in RNAcentral is "eukaryotic LSU rRNA". The stretch from base 43 to 196 matches the Rfam family "5.8S ribosomal RNA". The record is from RNAcentral. Lineage: Eukaryota; Fungi; Basidiomycota; Agaricomycetes; Russulales; Russulaceae.
UAGUGUAGAAUGUCCUUUUUUGCGAUAACACGCAAUCAAUACAACUUUCAACAACGGAUCUCUUGGCUCUCGCAUCGAUGAAGAACGCAGCGAAAUGCGAUACGUAAUGUGAAUUGCAGAAUUCAGUGAAUCAUCGAAUCUUUGAACGCACCUUGCGCCCCUUGGCAUUCCGAGGGGCACACCCGUUUGAGUGUCGUGAAAUUCUCAAAACCCUUUCUUUUGGUCAUUUUUGACCAUCGAAAGGGUCUUGGACUUGGAGGCCUUUUUGCUGGUUUCACCUUGAAGCGAGCUCCUCCCAAACGUAUUAGUGGGGUCUGCAUUGUCGGUCCUUGGCGUGAUAAGUUGUUUCUACGUCUUGGAUUUUUGGCGCUGUACACCUGCUUCUAACCGUCUUCAUUGACAACGAUGGUGUUC